RNAcentral lists this ribosomal RNA (170 nucleotides) under Calappa hepatica. RNAcentral's name for it is "partial 16S ribosomal RNA". The record is from RNAcentral. Lineage: Eukaryota; Metazoa; Arthropoda; Malacostraca; Decapoda; Calappidae.
UCUUCAUAUGCCGUUGUAUUUAAUCAAAUUAUGAUGUAAAGAUUAAUUGGAAUUGGUUUAUUUUGUUGGGGCGACAAAAGUAUAAUUUCUUGGGUAACUGCUAUUAAUUUUAUACAGUAAUAGCUGAAGUAAGUUUAAAAGAUCCUUAUUAAAGAUUCAAAAAUCAAGUU